GAUGAGAUCUGCGAGCAGACGGCACAUCAGAUCAGAUCAGUUUAUCUGUGCAGGAUGAGAGGUUUUCUGUGGUUGGUUGGUGCAGUUUUACUGCUGGGGUCAAUAGAUGGAGGCGACGCAUAUGAACAACUUGAUGAUAAUACAAGGAACAUCGUUGACCAGGCAAUAAUCAAAGCCAACGAGAAAUAUGGACAAAAAACACACAUUGAUUUUCAUUCAAUCAACUGUUCUGGUAAUUCAGGGUUGUUUCAUGUCCUAUUAAAACCCACCUCAUGUAACGUUACCAAGGGAGCGGGAGUUCAUCAAAAGGAAUGUUCAUUUCCAAAGAAAACUAAAUUUAUGAUAUCCUGUGCGGUGUGUGAUAAUAAUGAGAUGACCUGUGGAUUUAAAGAAAGACACAAAGAGAAGAUAAAGGAACUUAUAAAAAAAUGUGGCUCAGAAUGUCGUUCUAAGUAUUUUACUGGAGGUGGAGAUAUGUUGUCUUUAAAGGUGGAAGGAAAAGAAUUUGGAUGUCUUGGAUGCAUCUGAGAAGCAGAAAUCUGUGCAACAAUUUACCCAACAGUUGAUAUUUAGAAAUCCAUCUCCAAUGUGAAAUGUAUAAUGUACUGAUUAAAUUACAGUAAAAUCCUAAACAUUAGCAAAUAUAUAUAUAUAUAUAGUGUAUAUAAGGUAACAUUUUAUAAUAAGGUUCAUUAGUUAACAUUAGUUAACUACAUAAGUUAACAUGAUCUUUGUUAAUGUUAAUUUCAACAAUUACUAAUACUUUAUUAAAAUCUUGUUAACUUUAGUUAAUGCACUGUGAACUAACAUGAACAAACAAUUAAAAGCUUUAUUUCUAUUAACUAACAUUAACAAAGAUGAAUAAAUACUGUAACACAUGUGUUGCUCAUGGUUUGUUUAUGUUAGUUAAUACAUUUUAACUAAUGUUAACGAAUGAAUCUUAUUGUAAAGUGUUACUGUAUAUACUACACAUCACAUAAUGCAUUCUGAUCUGAAUAUUGUUUUGACUCAAACUGCAUUUACUUUAAAAUCCUCAUAUACAGCUGUUAUUUUACGGUUUUGAAUAGUCUACUGGGUAAAAAUGAAAUGUCUUUAUGUAAUGCCAUUGUGCAAUAUUAAUGUUUAACCUGUUUAAAUGUUUGAUGUUUCUUACUCCAAAAUUGUAAAACUGUUUUUGGGUUAGUUCAAAUAAAAAGCAAGUAAAUUUGUUGGGUUGUCAAAACUUCAUUUUUUGUUCUCUAAAUUAAGACGAAAUCUCAUGAUAAGCCAUAAUACACUCAUGAACACAAUAGGUAUUUUCAACCCAACGUUGAGUAAAAAGGGACUGUCAUUGUCUAACUGUGUUCUGUAUAUGUCUGUGUUCCUUUGCUGAUUGUUAUCACCUGACCUCAUUACCACAUCAUUAUGAGGAGAGGAGGUCUCUCUUACUGGAGAUCCUUCUCAACUCCCACUUCAUUCCUGGUCUCAAUGUCCCUCCAUCUCUACCGGAACGGGCGGGGCUGAUCCGCCGCCCAUUUAGUGAGCUGGUGGAUCAUCUUUGUCAAGAGAAGCUCUGGGGCUUCACCAUUUGCCCCUCUGCCAGGGAUACCAGAGGGUUGCAUCCUGGCUGCUGCCAUGCCUGAUCCAGUUCACGAGAUGGCCAAAUCUUCUGAGACUGUCCACGAGAUGGCCGAAUCGUCUGAGUCUGUCCACAAGAUGGCUGAAUCGUUCAAGUCUGUUCACGAGAUGGCCAAAUCGUCUGAAUUUGUUCACUAUAUGACUGAAUCGUCUGAGUCUGUUCAUGAGAUGGCUGAUCUGGAACUCAAAUGCUCUGCUUCACCCAAGAUAGCUUAUCUCGAACUCUCCAAACUUUCUGCCUCACCUAAGAUGGCCGAUCUCAAACUCCUAAACUUUCUUCCUCACCUAAGAUGGAUCUCGAACUCUUUGAACCCCCUGGCUGGUCGAAGAUGGCUGAUUCUGGACUCGCUCCCUUUCUCGAGUUGGACAAUACUGAACUAUCUAACCUGGCCGUGAGGCCUUCUGUAUGUCUUGCCUCUCUAUUUCUCUCUCUAUCCAGGUUCCUGUUGCCUCCAGCACCCCCGUGGAUUCCGGCCUCCUAUCCUGCUCCUGCCCUGCCAGAACCAUCCUGCAUAGAUGAAAUGUAGGAUAGUUCAUACGUCGCACUUUUAUAAAUGAGGCCCCCGGUGUUAGCCUCUCCUCCAUCGCUGUCAGCAGCUGUGGCUGCGGCCCAAGAGGUCAUAAAAGAAAAGCAAGAGGAGAAAUCUGCUCAAGACGGCACGGGUCAGGAGAUGUUUAGUGAACAGGAACACAUGAGCAUCUCGGGCAGCAGUGCCAGACAUAAUAUGGUCAUGCAGAAACUAGAAACAAAAGUGCAAUGCACAAUUGCAAGUCUUUCUGUGUGUGUGUAUAGAAAACUUGAAUAAAGUUGCUUUGACAGUGGUGUAGUGGAAUAUGGUCAUCAUAAAACAGUCCUCUUGUUCGCUCUUUCCACAGUCUAUGGUGAAGGUGCUCAGUAACAUGGUUGGUCCUGAGGACAUCAAUGAUGAUCUGGAGGGAGAAGCAGGGUUAGGAGGAGGAUGCUGAAAUAAUUGUUAAGAUCCUUGUUGAGUUUUCAGCGGCGUCAGAGAUGAACAAGGCCAUUCAGGCCCUUAACAACCACUGGUUCAGGGGUUGGAAGGUCAUCGCUGAAGUUUAUGAUCAGGAGUGAUUUGAAAACAGUGACCUCUCUGCAUAGACUGUCAAUCAUAACCUCUUUCUUCAUCAUUUCCUCUCUCACACAGACACAGUUGCCGACCGCUAUUCCCAGUGGCAUUGGCUUCUCUUUAUAACUUGUAAUUAUUUUUUAUCAAUGUUGAUAUUAAUGUUAUUAAUUUUAUCCCUUUAUGGGACAGAGGCAAGGAAACGCUUAUAAGUAUUUUUAUUGUUGCUGUUCCCUAAUUUGAAUUACUGGAUUUCACCUUUUUUUUUGUUAUAAUUAAACUCCUUUGGAACCCCACCAACCCAUCAGAUAAAGUUAAAAUUCAGUUGCUUUGUCUUUUAUUCCUAAAGUAUUCUCAUUAGCCUGUUAUGAUGCUUUUGGUUUCAAAUGCCAGAACAAUAAAUUCAACGAUGACUUUUAAGUCCUGUGCUAUGUUUACUGUUUAUGAAUGCCCAUACAGGUAAUAUGGGAAAUACAGCUAGUCAUUUGAAUUAGUUUUGUUUAUUUGGAGUAAACCAAUAUUUUAAUGAAUCAAAGAUUGAUUAAAAGAUCUCAGUGUAAGUGUAAUGUGUGGCUGUUUGAUGGUAUUACAUUAAUGCAGGCACUAGCAUAAGGGUAACUUGUGUGCAUGUCAGUGUUUGAUUUGAAGUUGAACAUUGAAUUUUGUACCAGGGGUUAUGUUUGAAAACUUCAGUUGUUGUGCAGAAAAACAAGUAGUGAAGAUUAUGCUUGUUCUUGUUGAUUACUUAUAAUAGUCUGACUUUUUGUAAUUAGAAAUGUGAUUUACCUUUAAUUUGUAAUAGUUUAAGGUAAUUUUUUUAAAUAUUAGAAAAAAAUUCUAGUUUUUUAAAAUGCUUAUAUAAAUAUUUGUGAGACCAAUGAGCUAAUGAUUUACCAGUUCUCUGUGAUAUUCGGCAAGCAGACGGCACAUCAGAUCAGAUCAGUUUAUCUGUGCAGGAUGAGAGGUUUUCUGUGGUUGGUUGGUGCAGUUUUACUGCUGGGGUCAAUAGAUGGAGGCGACACAUACGAAAAACUUGAUACUAAUACAAGGAACAUCGUUGACCAGGCAAUAAUCAAAGCCAAUGAGAAAUAUGGACAAAAAACACACAUUGAUUUCCAUUCAAUCAACUGUUCUGGUAAUUCAAGGUUGUUUCAUAUCCUGUUAAAACCCACCUCAUGUAACGUUAACAAGGGUGCAGGAGUUCAUCAAAAUGAAUGUCCCUUUCCAAAGAAAACUAAAUUUAUGAUUUCCUGUGUGGUAUGUGAUAAUAAUGUGACCUGUGGAUACAAAGAAAAAGACAAAGAGAAGAUAAAGGAACUUAUAAAAAAAUGUGGCUCAGAAUGUUAUCCUCCCUAUAUGGAUGGACUAGGACAUUUGAGUUUUUUAAAGAAGGAGAGUAAAGAAUUUGGAUGUCUUGGAUGCAUCUGAAAAGCAGAAAUCUUUCCAACCAUUUACCCAACAGUUAAUAUUUAGAAAUCCAUCUUCACUGUGAAAUUACAAGUUAUAAU
Paramisgurnus dabryanus is the source of this 4207-nucleotide long non-coding RNA. RefSeq lists it as uncharacterized. The record is from RefSeq and is a predicted model, not a curated record. NCBI's taxonomy places the organism in Eukaryota, Metazoa, Chordata, Actinopteri, Cypriniformes, Cobitidae.